GACGAACGCUGGCGGCGUGCUUAACACAUGCAAGUCGAACGGAAAGGCCCUGCUUUUGUGGGGUGCUCGAGUGGCGAACGGGUGAGUAACACGUGAGUAACCUGCCCUUGACUUUGGGAUAACUUCAGGAAACUGGGGCUAAUACCGGAUAGGAGCUCCUGCUGCAUGGUGGGGGUUGGAAAGUUUCGGCGGUGGGGGAUGGACUCGCGGCUUAUCAGCUUGUUGGUGGGGUAGUUGCUUACCAAGGCUUUGACGGGUAGCCGGCCUGAGAGGGUGACCGGCCACAUUGGGCCUGAGAUACGGCCCAGAAUCCUAUGGGAGGCAGCAGUGGGGAAUCUUGCACAAUGGGCGGAAGCCUGAUGCAGCAACGCCGCGUGCGGGAUGACGGCCUUCGGGUUGUAAACAGCUUUCGCCUGUGACGAAGAGUGAGUGACGGUAAUGGGUAAAGAAGCACCGGCUAACUACGUG
This 468-nucleotide ribosomal RNA is filed under the name uncultured bacterium. RNAcentral's name for it is "partial 16S ribosomal RNA". It matches the Rfam family "Bacterial small subunit ribosomal RNA", at positions 28 to 507 of the family's 1533-position model. The record is from RNAcentral.